GGGGAUCUGGUUUAGUGGUAUAACGUCUCAUUUGCAUUGCCGUUUCUUCACCAAAAGAGCGGCGCGAUUUGAGAAGGUCUAGGGUUCGAUUCCCUAGUUCUCCA
This is a non-coding RNA of Tricharina praecox, 104 nucleotides long. The record is from the annotation of a RefSeq genome assembly. NCBI's taxonomy places the organism in Eukaryota, Fungi, Ascomycota, Pezizomycetes, Pezizales, Pyronemataceae.